GCCAGUGUGGUGUAGUGGUUAGAGCAUUGGACUUUGACUUUGGAGGCCAGGGUUUGAAUCCCUGAGCAGCUG
Molecule: non-coding RNA, 72 nt
Organism: Phrynosoma platyrhinos (Desert horned lizard)
Lineage: Eukaryota; Metazoa; Chordata; Lepidosauria; Squamata; Phrynosomatidae
Source: the annotation of a GenBank genome assembly